CAUGUACUUCCUCCGUCUCAAAAUUCUUGUCUUAGAUUUGUCUAGAUACGAAUGUACCUAAUACUAAAACGUGACUUGAUACAUCCGUAUUUAGACAAAUUUAAGACAAGAAUUUUGGGACGAAGGGAGUAUUUG
Triticum aestivum (bread wheat) is the source of this 135-nucleotide non-coding RNA. Lineage: Eukaryota; Viridiplantae; Streptophyta; Magnoliopsida; Poales; Poaceae. The record is from Rfam.